AAAAAACCCUACUCUCUCAUUUCACUUCAGCCGCCUCACGCCCUAACCCUCAUUCUUUUCUUUUCUUCUCUCUGAGUUCCAUCUUCCAUGCCUCCCUCUUCUAUACUUGUCCCUCUUCAUCAUGCUUUAAAAAAAACGAAGAUUAACAAAAAUCUGAGAGUGUUUAUAGUGUGGAUUUUGUUAAUUUUUGCAUUUUUUUUUUUUUAAAACUGUGAGUUGUUUCUUUUUUGCUCUAAUGUAAGUCUUUCGUCGCCGGCGACGUAGAGAACGCGUUCUCUACACAAACGGUGCUAGAGACUCCAUCUCCGCCGCCGAUCUAUAGUGGAGGAUUCUCUGAUUUCUCGCCGGAGCAGAACGGAAAGGACUUUGAUGGAGGUUUUGGCGGAUCGGACGGCCCGAUCUUGCCUCCGCCGUCGGAGAUGCAGUCGGAGAAGGGCUUUGCUCUGAGAGAGUGGCGCCGAUGAGUCCGCCAACUCAGUAUUCAGAUACUUCUAACUUUGUCUCUGUAAUUCAGAUUAGAAUUUAAAUUUUUCUCUAAUUUUAAUAUAAGCUCAAUUAUGGUUAUUAUACUAUUUGCUUAGUAAAGUCAAAGAGCUAUGAACUUCUAACUUCGUCUCUGUAAUUCAGAUUAGAUUUUGAUUUUUCUCUAAUUUUAAUAAAUUUUUCCCAUAAAUUUAAAAUUUUGAGCUCAAAAUAUCAUUAUUAUUAAUUUCUUAGUAAUAUGAACUAUCUUCUAAGUUCUAACUUCUUUGAAAUUCAGAUCAGAAUAGAAUUUUCAUAAUUUUUUUUUUUAAUUUAUAAAGUACUCAGUUACUGUACUGUCUCUGUCCGAGCGCAUAGAGCCACCCAUAUUCGAAGAAAGUAAAAAGCAAGCACACUCAUAUUUCUCUCUCUCUCUGCAGUCUCUUUCUUUGUUAUCACUCAUUCCCCUAAAGCAACACGCCAUCAUUACAAAGAUCAGCCAUCUUUCACUCACUUAUGAAACUGUUGUUAAGUUUCACUCAGUUCCAGUGAAUCUUCCAUCAGGUAAAUAAAUCUCAUUUUAAGGUUUUGUGCUGGCAAGAUUAUAUCAAGAAAUUCAAGUGUUUAUAGUUGUUUUUGAGUAGUGUUUUUUCUUCUUCUUUUUUUGGGGUGGUUUUACAAUAAGAAAUGGUAGUUCUUGUUAGUUAUCUAAUCAAUGCUUCUUCUGUUUGGUUGUUUAGAAUUAACUGUCAACAUCUACUAUCUUAAAAAUUAGAAAUUGAGCUUAUCUGACAAGACUUUGUUGUCUGAUUUAUUGUUUCGUUUGCAGAAUUAGUUUUUUAAUUGCUGAGAUCAACUUAAUAAAUAAAUAAAUAAAUAAAUAAAUAAAAUGAUAUUUUAAAAUCUGUAUUUCCAUUAGUUUGCUUUAGUUUCCGAUUGGCUUAGUAGUUAAAUUAGGAAUUUUUUUUUCCUUUCUAUUUCUUCACUGAGAUAUCAAAUGAUGAGAAAAUUAGUAUUCAAAACUUAAUCUUUCACUUUGGCUACCAUUAAACCGAGAUAAUUUUAUGUAUCGUUUGUUUUUAAUUAUUUUUUCUACUUUAAAUUCCUAGUCACAUACUCACAGCUGAGAAUGAUAAGUGCCUUUGGUGCUCCAUUUUUGUUAUCAUUAGUGAUUUGCUAUAUGGGUUAACUUUUUUUUCUUCCUUUUUUGCUUAUUUUUAGGAUUUAUGGAAAAUUGGCAUUUGGAGGGAUUUAUGAUGAUUUUGGCUGCAUUUUCUUGCCACUGUCUAUGAAUCAAUAUAUAUAUAUAUAUAUAUAUAAGUAGAGACCUCAUGCAAGAGUGCAUGAGGUUCUGCCAUGUGGCGUUCUAUAUGAGUUCUUUGCAAUCAUCUUUAUUAUGAAACGAUUUUUUCCAACCUUAAAAAUUAAAACAAUGAAGCUUUUAUGUAUAGCACUUAUUGCUUCAUCAAAAAUCAAUUCAGUUCUUCCUCUCUCCUAACUCUUCACUUCUUUCCAUUACAAAAAACAAAGACUCUUCACUGAUUCCGGACAACCAAAAAAAAAAAAAAAAAAACUUUAUUUCCCCGUUCAAAUUUAAAUGCACACUAUGGAUAAGCACCUGACAAAGUGAGACCAAGCUUUGCACUAUUACACCUUUAUAAUAAUAUUAUACUUCCAAGUAAUUUCCGUUGAGAUCAAACCCAUCUUAAAUUUUUUAAAUUUCAUUCAUUCUCUUUCUUAACUCUUCAUUUCUUUCUCUGUCUCUUAACUCUUCACUUCUUCUAGCAAAAACAAAAACAAAACCUCCUUCACUUCCCCUUUCAAUUAAAUGCACACUAUGUACCUGUUUCUUUUGAAGAUUAUAUAUUGAUGGAUCAAUGAUUCCUCUAUGAGUUCAUGGACAAAAGCUCCUUUCUUAGUGUCUGUAAAUAAAUAAAUAUUGCUAACUCUCUCUCUUUUUUUCUUUCUUUCAUUUUUUUUUUUCAAAAUUUUAUUUGGGAUACUGAGUUUGUGGUUUGCAAUGUUUGAGGGAAGACAGACUCAGGGAGAUUGAAGCGUCAACUUUACCUAUUUUGGCCGGGGACUAAAGUCACUAAACCCAAGGAGAAAAAGCCACCGGCCCCUAAUUUAUCAAAUCCUUCUUCAGUAUCUAAGAGGUGCGGAAAUUUUCUUUUUGGGGCUUGGAUGUGCAAGUAGUGAACUUUUAAUUUGCGAUAAGCCCUCUCCCUUUGUCUCUCUAUCACUUCUUUCUCUCUCUCUUACAUCUGCAAAGACGAAGAAGGUAUGUUAGAUUUCUAGUAUUGUACAACUGAGCCAGCAUAAAUUUGCAUCAAACGUUAUUAAGAAAUGUUUGGAGUAUGGUGGCCCCACUGAACGAGAACUAUUAAUUGGGGAGAUUUUUGGGCAUAAUGAAGGAACUGAUAAUUUAUUGGCCGAAGGUUUCAUCGGCACUUUUCUUCAAUUACAACACCUUGAUGGGACUGCCAUAUCGGGUUUUGGUAGAUACUAACUUCAUCAAUUUCUCUAUCUAGAAUAAACUGGAUUUGGAGAAGGGAAUGAUGGACUGCCUAUAUGCAAAAUGUGAGUUUAGAAUCACUGGUUUCUUCAAUUUAAUGUGAAUAUUAAUUUGCUGCAAGAAUUGUUGUGCCGUGUUGAUGAGGUAUCCUAAGUUCAACAUAGUUGUUAAUGUGGUUUUAUAACAAGCAUUGAGUGCCAUGUAUCAUUGGCAAACACUUAAAUAUGUGUUGGUUGUUUAAUGAUAUUUAUCAAAAUAUUACUCUUGGUUGUGUGGAUGUCCAUGAGAAUGCUUAAGGAAUAAAAUGAGAAUCUUUUUUUAAA
Molecule: RNA transcript, 3300 nt
Organism: Quercus robur (English oak)
Lineage: Eukaryota; Viridiplantae; Streptophyta; Magnoliopsida; Fagales; Fagaceae
Exons: 5
Source: RefSeq, a predicted model, not a curated record